AAAUUAANAUUAUAACGGCGUAAAGAGUGGUCACAUGUUAUCCAAGUAGCUAAGAUUAAAAAGCAACUGAGUUGUCACAAGCUAAAGAUGCGGCAUAAGGCCUCUAUUCAAAGAAAAUCUUAGACCAACGACUAAUUGAAGCCACGAAAGCCAGGGCCCAAACUGGGAUUAGAUACCCCACUAUGCCUGGCCCUAAAUCUUGAUGCUCGAUCUAACCGGAGCAUCCGCCCGAGAACUACGAGCACAAACGCUUAAAACUCUAAGGACUUGGCGGUGCUCCAAACCCACCUAGAGGAGCCUGUUCUGUAAUCGAUGAUCCACGAUGCACCCAACCAUUCCUUGCCAAAAACAGCCUAUAUACCGCCGUCUCCAGCCCGCCCUUCAUGACGGACCAACAGC
RNAcentral lists this ribosomal RNA (399 nucleotides) under Actinodura nipalensis (hoary-throated barwing). RNAcentral describes it as "Sibia nipalensis (hoary-throated barwing) partial 12S ribosomal RNA". It matches the Rfam family "Bacterial small subunit ribosomal RNA", at positions 541 to 1093 of the family's 1533-position model. Lineage: Eukaryota; Metazoa; Chordata; Aves; Passeriformes; Leiothrichidae. The record is from RNAcentral.